UCCUGCCGGCGUGGCGUUGGGGGCUGGGGCCCUUUGGCGGCGCCCCCGCGGCCAGCGCGGAUGCUGGCGGCGGGGC
This 76-nucleotide transfer RNA is filed under the name Leishmania donovani. RNAcentral's name for it is "tRNA-Gln". The record is from RNAcentral. Lineage: Eukaryota; Euglenozoa; Kinetoplastea; Trypanosomatida; Trypanosomatidae.